AGGGUCCCAUGGAGAGGUGUAGGUGUAGGUAGUCUCUAUAGAAGUGUGUAGGGUCCCAUGGAGAGGUGUAGGUAGUCUCUAUAGAAGUGUGUAGGGUCCCAUGGAGAGGUGUAGGUGUAGGUAGUCUCUAUAGAAGUGUGUAGAGUCCCAUGGAGAGGUGUAGGUGUAGGUAGUCUCUAUAGAAGUGUGUAGGGUCCCAUGGAGAGGUGUAGGUGUAGGUAGUCUCUAUAGAAGUGUGUAGAGUCCCAUGGAGAGGUGUAGGUGUAGGUAGUCUCUAUAGAAGUGUGUAGGGUCCCAUGGAGAGGUGUAGGUGUAGGUAGUCUCUAUAGAAGUGUGUAGGGUCCCAUGGAGAGGUGUAGGUGUAGGUAGUCUAUAUAGAAGUGUGUAGGGUCCCAUGGAGAGGUGUAGGUGUAGGUAGUCUCUAUAGAAGUGUGUAGGGUCCCAUGGAGAGGUGUAGGUGUAGGUAGUCUCUAUAGAAGUGUGUAGAGUCCCAUGGAGAGGUGUAGGUAGUCUCUAUAGAAGUGUGUAGGGUCCCAUGGAGAGGUGUAGGUGUAGGUAGUCUCUAUAGAAGUGUGUAGGGUCCCAUGGAGAGGUGUAGGUGUAGGUAGUCUCUAUAGAAGUGUGUAGGGUCCCAUGGAGAGGUGUAGGUGUAGGUAGUCUCUAUAGAAGUGUGUAGGGUCCCAUGGAGAGGUGUAGGUGUAGGUAGUCUCUAUAGAAGUGUGUAGGGUCCCAUGGAGAGGUGUAGGUGUAGGUAGUCUCUAUAGAAGUGUGUAGGGUCCCAUGGAGAGGUGUAGGUGUAGGUAGUCUCUAUAGAAGUGUGUAGGGUCCCAUGGAGAGGUGUAGGUGUAGGUAGUCUCUAUAGAAGUGUGUAGGGUCCCAUGGAGAGGUGUAGGUGUAGGUAGUCUCUAUAGAAGUGUGUAGGGUCCCAUGGAGAGGUGUAGGUGUAGGUAGUCUCUAUAGAAGUGUGUAGAGUCCCAUGGAGAGGUGUAGGUGUAGGUAGUCUCUAUAGAAGUGUGUAGGGUCCCAUGGAGAGGUGUAGGUAGUCUCUAUAGAAGUGUGUAGAGUCCCAUGGAGAGGUGUAGGUGUAGGUAGUCUCUAUAGAAGUGUGUAGGGUCCCAUGGAGAGGUGUAGGUAGUCUCUAUAGAAGUGUGUAGGGUCCCAUGGAGAGGUGUAGGUGUAGGUAGUCUCUAUAGAAGUGUGUAGAGUCCCAUGGAGAGGUGUAGGUGUAGGUAGUCUCUAUAGAAGUGUGUAGAGUCCCAUGGAGAGGUGUAGGUAGUCUCUAUAGAAGUGUGUAGGGUCCCAUGGAGAGGUGUAGGUGUAGGUAGUCUCUAUAGAAGUGUGUAGGGUCCCAUGGAGAGGUGUAGGUGUAGGUAGUCUCUAUAGAAGUGUGUAGGGUCCCAUGGAGAGGUGUAGGUAGUCUCUAUAGAAGUGUGUAGGGUCCCAUGGAGAGGUGUAGGUGUAGGUAGUCUCUAUAGAAGUGUGUAGGGUCCCAUGGAGAGGUGUAGGUGUAGGUAGUCUCUAUAGAAGUGUGUAGGGUCCCAUGGAGAGGUGUAGGUGUAGGUAGUCUCUAUAGAAGUGUGUAGGGUCCCAUGGAGAGGUGUAGGUGUAGGUAGUCUCUAUACAAGUGUGUAGGGUCCCAUGGAGAGGUGUAGGUGUAGGUAGUCUCUAUAGAAGUGUGUAGAGUCCCAUGGAGAGGUGUAGGUGUAGGUAGUCUCUAUAGAAGUGUGUAGGGUCCCCUGGAGAGGUGUAGGUGUAGGUAGUCUCUAUAGAAGUGUGUAGGGUCCCAUGGAGAGGUGUAGGUAGUCUCUAUAGAAGUGUGUAGGGUCCCAUGGAGAGGUGUAGGUGUAGGUAGUCUCUAUAGAAGUGUGUAGAGUCCCAUGGAGAGGUGUAGGUGUAGGUAGUCUCUAUAGAAGUGUGUAGGGUCCCAUGGAGAGGUGUAGGUAGUCUCUAUACAAGUGUGUAGAGUCCCAUGGAGAGGUGUAGGUAGUCUCUAUAGAAGUGUGUAGAGUCCCAUGGAGAGGUGUAGGUAGUCUCUAUAGAAGUGUGUAGAGUCCCAUGGAGAGGUGUAGGUGUAGGUAGUCUCUAUAGAAGUGUGUAGAGUCCCAUGGAGAGGUGUAGGUGUAGGUAGUCUCUAUAGAAGUGUGUAGGGUCCCAUGGAGAGGUGUAGGUGUAGGUAGUCUCUAUAGAAGUGUGUAGAGUCCCAUGGAGAGGUGUAGGUGUAGGUAGUCUCUAUAGAAGUGUGUAGAGUCCCAUGGAGAGGUGUAGGUGUAGGUAGUCUCUAUAGAAGUGUGUAGGGUCCCAUGGAGAGGUGUAGGUGUAGGUAGUCUCUAUAGAAGUGUGUAGGGUCCCAUGGAGAGGUGUAGGUGUAGGUAGUCUCUAUAGAAGUGUGUAGAGUCCCAUGGAGAGGUGUAGGUGUAGGUAGUCUCUAUAGAAGUGUGUAGGGUCCCAUGGAGAGGUGUAGGUGUAGGUAGUCUCUAUAGAAGUGUGUAGGGUCCCAUGGAGAGGUGUAGGUGUAGGUAGUCUCUAUAGAAGUGUGUAGGGUCCCAUGGAGAGGUGUAGGUGUAGGUAGUCUCUAUAGAAGUGUGUAGGGUCCCAUGGAGAGGUGUAGGUGUAGGUAGUCUCUAUAGAAGUGUGUAGGGUCCCAUGGAGAGGUGUAGGUGUAGGUAGUCUCUAUAGAAGUGUGUAGGGUCCCAUGGAGAGGUGUAGGUGUAGGUAGUCUCUAUAGAAGUGUGUAGGGUCCCAUGGAGAGGUGUAGGUGUAGGUAGUCUCUAUAGAAGUGUGUAGAGUCCCAUGGAGAGGUGUAGGUGUAGGUAGUCUCUAUAGAAGUGUGUAGGGUCCCAUGGAGAGGUGUAGGUAGUCUCUAUAGAAGUGUGUAGGGUCCCAUGGAGAGGUGUAGGUGUAGGUAGUCUCUAUAGAAGUGUGUAGAGUCCCAUGGAGAGGUGUAGGUGUAGGUAGUCUCUAUAGAAGUGUGUAGAGUCCCAUGGAGAGGUGUAGGUGUAGGUAGUCUCUAUAGAAGUGUGUAGAGUCCCAUGGAGAGGUGUAGGUGUAGGUAGUCUCUAUAGAAGUGUGUAGGGUCCCAUGGAGAGGUGUAGGUGUAGGUAGUCUCUAUAGAAGUGUGUAGGGUCCCAUGGAGAGGUGUAGGUAGUCUCUAUAGAAGUGUGUAGGGUCCCAUGGAGAGGUGUAGGUGUAGGUAGUCUCUAUAGAAGUGUGUAGGGUCCCAUGGAGAGGUGUAGGUAGUCUCUAUAGAAGUGUGUAGGGUCCCCUGGAGAGGUGAUUUCUCAGCUUCACUCCUUGGUUACAGUCUCUAUACCAGUCAGCCACAUCCCCAUUGCCUCAAUGUUAAUGAUA
Pecten maximus is the source of this 3348-nucleotide long non-coding RNA. RefSeq lists it as uncharacterized. NCBI's taxonomy places the organism in Eukaryota, Metazoa, Mollusca, Bivalvia, Pectinida, Pectinidae. The transcript is spliced from 10 exons. The record is from RefSeq and is a predicted model, not a curated record.